CAAGGACAAAGGUCUGGGGGGCUGUGGCGCUGACUUUCCAGCCUCGGCCACCUCAAGAGAGAAGAUGGGCCGGCCAGGGCCCCGCAGGGAGAAGGUCGCGGACACCCAGCUGUCUGGCGCUCCUGCUGCCCUCCACCAUGCCCUUGGUGAUGCCAUCCUUGGUCCCGAGGACUCAGACCUGGUGCCCUCUGUGACCCUGGCUGUGGCCCUGGUGCUGCUGUUCCUCCUGCUCUUGACUUGGCUGAUGUGACACAGGCCCCUCCAGGAGAGGAAAAGGCCGUUACAAAGUCACCCCACGUGCCGUGGGACAGGCUGGCUUGGUCCCGGCGGGCUGUGUUACGGCGCCCACUCACACCUCAGACGCUUCUCCAGUGCAAGGUUGGCAGCGGGACCCGGACCCGUCCUGCCCCGCGGGAGCUCCUGGUCCGCUGGGGGCACAAAAAUCUGCAAGACUGCUCAGUGGACCGGGGCAGGGCGGACCGAUGGACACACUGGGCUGCUUGGUCCUGGGUUUGGAGGAGGCCGUGGCCAGCAGGGGUGCCUGGAGUGUGAGCCUGAGUGAGGGCCCGUCAAGGAAGAGCAGUCAGGCUUAGAAGAGGGGAGUCUGGCCUGCGUGUGUGCACUGAUGCCAUGUGUGUGUCUACGUCCCUGCGGCUGCACAGCCUGGGUCUGGCUUCUAGUCUGAACUGCAGACUUGAGGACCAGCAGCAGAGGCCCCCCGACCGCUGGGAAGCUGAGCUGCGGCCGACUUGGCCUUUCCUUGGGCAGAGUUGCAGUCCUGACUGGCCGGGCGGAGCAGCGGCCUGGCCUCGGGGGAGGGCUCCUGGGGCCCGGCCACAGACGGGGCGCGCAGUCCUGCCGCACGGGCCCCCCUCCACCCCGGCUCGGCGGGGGCUGCCUGUGUGGGAUGAGACAGGCUCCAGAAAGAACACUGGGCCCCAGGCUUAGGAAGGUGCUAGAGAGAGACAGCGAGGCGGUCGGAGGAGUGCCCGGGCCUGCCGGGAGAUGGACGUCGGUGCACACGCGGAGGGCACAGCGGCCAGACCAUGGGCUCUGCGCAUCCCCCGCCUGCCCUGUCACUUUCUAGCUGGCCCUGACCGUGGGCGCGGGCCUGCCCUGCCCGCACUUCCGGUGCCUGAUCUGGGAUGGCGUCGGGGGAGGCAUGAAUGAGUUCACACUGGGAGCCGGCCUCGGGUCAGGGUCAGGGGAAAGUGUUUCGGAUUCCAGGUGAUUAAAUGGUCUUUUUAUUCA
Molecule: long non-coding RNA, 1251 nt
Organism: Suricata suricatta (meerkat)
Lineage: Eukaryota; Metazoa; Chordata; Mammalia; Carnivora; Herpestidae
Exons: 3
Source: RefSeq, a predicted model, not a curated record